UUAAAAAAAGGGCUUGGACAUCGGACGUUUUCGCAUACAUUGCAAAAAUCUGCCCAAAAACCAUUAUUUUUGACCCCUCCAAAAACCUUUAAACUAGAGUAAAACAUAAUGUCAGACCUCCAGUAACACGAAAAAAAAUAUUUCUCUUUUCUUCGAGGCUUCAGUGAAAGUUACGUGACGGCGGAAGAAGAAAAAUAAUGGACAUCGGACGUUUUCGCAUACUUUGAGAUUGCCCCUCAAGAUAUGUGUUCAGGAUUGCCUAGAAUGCAUGAAAUCGAUUAGAAUUAUAUAAAGUAGGGUGAAAUUAUUCAUCUUCAGAGGGUCCUGAACGAGAAUCCAAAUUUGCCUAAGUGUUAAAGUUAGGUAAAAAGUGUGAUAAACCUUCUGUUCCUAAAACAAAACUCGCGUCCCCUGAGAUCAUCGAAAGUGGCUGUUUGUGUUUCACUUAGGCCAAAACAUCCCCCCUAGACUCUCUCCCCCCCCCU
Bemisia tabaci is the source of this 485-nucleotide non-coding RNA. The record is from RefSeq and is a predicted model, not a curated record. Lineage: Eukaryota; Metazoa; Arthropoda; Insecta; Hemiptera; Aleyrodidae.